GCCUCCGUAGCUCAGGGGAUAGAGCACCGCUCUCCUAAAGCGGGUGCCGCAGGUUCGAAUCCUGCCGGAGGCG
Molecule: transfer RNA, 73 nt
Filed under: Actinomadura citrea
Lineage: Bacteria; Bacillati; Actinomycetota; Actinomycetes; Streptosporangiales; Thermomonosporaceae
Also listed under: 26 other names
Description: tRNA-Arg
Rfam family: tRNA
About the family: Transfer RNA (tRNA) molecules are approximately 80 nucleotides in length. Their secondary structure includes four short double-helical elements and three loops (D, anti-codon, and T loops).
Source: RNAcentral